GCCCGGUUAGCUCAAUCGGUAGAGCGUGAGACUCUUAAUCUCAAGGUUGCGGGUGAGUACAAGCAUAUUCAAUACACUGCUUGUGGCA
Non-coding RNA from Hypoxylon argillaceum, 88 nucleotides. The record is from the annotation of a GenBank genome assembly. NCBI's taxonomy places the organism in Eukaryota, Fungi, Ascomycota, Sordariomycetes, Xylariales, Hypoxylaceae.